UUACGCCUAUUGUUGGCAACAUUUUCUUCAAACGGGUUGGACUUUAGCUUUUGGGAGAAUUGUGGAAAAUAACUCGCCGGAAAACUCGUCGGAAAUCUGCAACUCGCCGGAAAUCUCGCCAAACGCUUCAAAAACUUGAAGGACGUAUCCCGUGCUUGAAGGACGCAUCCCGUAGCCACGUGUCCAUUUUUUAUUGGGUUUUGCUCUAAGGACGCAUCCCGCGCAUAAUGUGCCGCUCCAAGGACGCAGGAGCGUGACAAAUUUGAAAACAUCUUCGGUCAACCGACAUUUUCUUAUUCAGGAAGCUCACACGAGAUGGAGGUACUAUGCUCAGAAGGUUCAUAAUUUCCUCCCUUAAUCGACCUUUCUUCCGGAACAAAUGUUAUUAUUAGUGCCUAAUGAAGUUUUCUGGAUGAGGAAAUAUCACCUGCUGCUAUACCUCAAUCUACAAAAAUCCUUGUUAAUGGUAGUUGGGUAGGGAUCCACGGCAAUCCCCCCGAGCUCUUGGUGAGGACCCUGAGACGACAUGUGUUGAUGUAAACACUCAAGUUGGAGUGAUAAGAGACAUUCGUUUAAAAAAAGAAAGCAUUGAGAGUUAUUGCAGAGCACUUGUCUACUAAAGAAGUAGAAGUGAUUAAAGAUAUGUUUACAUUGAUGGUGAUGGGAAAGUUACAUUUGAUGAAGUAUUAAAGAAAGUCGGUUCACAAUUGUCUUAACCUGAGAUCUGACUGCUCAUGGAUGUGGUGAUGCUAAAAGAUUGUGAAUGCUAAAAUUCUACCAUUUGUUCAUUCAUUAGGCUGAUGUUGAUGGCAAUGGCGUACAGUGUACCCGAGUGUGGAGAGUUUGUACUUUGUGGCAGUGACAAUUCAUUUGCAGAUGAGCAUCUACACAAAGCGUUUAUGUUUUUUUUUUUUAUGAAGAUGGAAGCGGUUAUAUUGAGCUUGAUGAGCUAGAACAAGUGCUGUAUGAACCUGGUCAUGCAGACAUGCGAGUACUCAAUGAAAGCAUGAAACAAAGAAGUUGAUACAGUCGACAAGGAUGGUCAAAUCAGUUUCAAGGAAUUUUCAUCUUCGGGAACAAAUUGGAGGAAGGCAUCACGACAAUAUUCGAAAGAUCGAUCAGGGAGGAAAAUGACUAUUUUUAAACUAUUGGAGCAAAACCGUCAAAAUGACCAAACCACGGGGAGCAAAACGAAUGUUAACUCUUUUAAAGACUUUGUGAUCGAGUUUUCCGUGUUUGUUUUUAUGCACAAGUGGGUAUAAAUUCAAGUUGAUUUACGUUUCAACGUAAAAAUUUCCACGAAAAUUAGUCGGGUCAAAUAUAAUAUGUUCUUAUGGUUAUCAUUAUAUACGUUUUCGGUUUGCCUACGUUUUGACAUAAUUUUUUUUCCGGAAAUGAGUCGGGUCAAAUAUAAUACGUUUCCGUGCUUAUUUUUAUGUACACUUUUAAUUGGUUUAUGUUUUGACGUUGAUUUUUUCCAGAGCACCGUGCCAACGCAUGAGGCAAUUUACUACU
This 1515-nucleotide long non-coding RNA is filed under the name Helianthus annuus (common sunflower). Lineage: Eukaryota; Viridiplantae; Streptophyta; Magnoliopsida; Asterales; Asteraceae. The record is from RNAcentral.